GCCCUGGUGGUGGAAUUGGUAGACACGCUGUCUUGAGGGGGCAGUGGGGUUUCCCCGUGCUGGUUCGACUCCAGUCCAGGGCACCA
Molecule: transfer RNA, 86 nt
Filed under: Nitrospinota bacterium
Lineage: Bacteria; Pseudomonadati; Nitrospinota
Description: tRNA-Leu
Rfam family: tRNA
About the family: Transfer RNA (tRNA) molecules are approximately 80 nucleotides in length.
Source: RNAcentral